ACUACGGGUGGCUGCAGUGGGGAAUAUUGCACAAUGGGCGCAAGCCUGAUGCAGCCAUGCCGCGUGUGUGAAGAAGGCCUUCGGGUUGUAAAGCACUUUCAGCGGGGAGGAAGGCGGUGAGGUUAAUAACCUCAUCGAUUGACGUUACCCGCAGAAGAAGCACCGGCUAACUCCGUGCCAGCAGCCGCGGUAAUACGGAGGGUGCAAGCGUUAAUCGGAAUUACUGGGCGUAAAGCGCACGCAGGCGGUCUGUCAAGUCGGAUGUGAAAUCCCCAGGCUCAACCUGGGAACUGCAUUCGAAACUGGCAGGCUAGAGUCUUGUAGAGGGGGGUAGAAUUCCAGGUGUAGCGGUGAAAUGCGUAGAGAUCUGGAGGAAUACCGGUGGCGAAGGCGGCCCCCUGGACAAAGACUGACGCUCAGGUGCGAAAGCGUGGGGAGCAAACAGGAUUAGAUACCCGAGUAGUC
This 465-nucleotide ribosomal RNA is filed under the name uncultured Klebsiella sp. Its description in RNAcentral is "bacterial SSU rRNA". It matches the Rfam family "Bacterial small subunit ribosomal RNA", at positions 338 to 795 of the family's 1533-position model. Lineage: Bacteria; Pseudomonadati; Pseudomonadota; Gammaproteobacteria; Enterobacterales; Enterobacteriaceae. The record is from RNAcentral.